RNAcentral lists this unclassified non-coding RNA (378 nucleotides) under plant metagenome. RNAcentral describes it as "partial contains 5.8S ribosomal RNA, internal transcribed spacer 2, and large subunit ribosomal RNA". The stretch from base 1 to 107 matches the Rfam family "5.8S ribosomal RNA", at positions 48 to 154 of the family's 154-position model. The record is from RNAcentral.
GCGAAAUGCGAUAAGUAAUGUGAAUUGCAGAAUUCAGUGAAUCAUCGAAUCUUUGAACGCACCUUGCGCUCCUUGGUAUUCCUUGGAGCAUGCCUGUUUGAGUAUCAUGAAAUCUUCAAAGUAAAUCUUUUGUUAACUCAAUUGGUUUCUACUUUGGUAUUGGAGGUCUUUGCAGCUUCACACCUGCUCCUCUUUGUUCAUUAGCUGGAUCUCAGUGUUAUGCUUGGUUCCACUCGGCGUGAUAAGUUAUCUAUCGCUGAGGACACUGUAAAAGGUGGCCAAGGUAAAUGCAGAUGAACCGCUUCUAAUAGUCCAUUGACUUUGACAAUACUUUUAUGAUCUGAUCUCAAAUCAGGUAGGACUACCCGCUGAACUUAA